This 22-nucleotide non-coding RNA is filed under the name Mus musculus (house mouse). Lineage: Eukaryota; Metazoa; Chordata; Mammalia; Rodentia; Muridae. The record is from miRBase by way of RNAcentral.
CAGCAGUUGAGUGAUGUGACAC